Molecule: ribosomal RNA, 497 nt
Filed under: uncultured bacterium
Lineage: Bacteria
Description: partial 16S ribosomal RNA
Rfam family: Bacterial small subunit ribosomal RNA
Source: RNAcentral
GAUGAACGAGGGUGGGGGGAAGAAGAAAGGAAAGUCGAGGGAAAGGACGAGAAGCUUGAUGCGCUGAGGUUAGCGGCGGACGGGUGAGUAACACGUGGAUAACCUACCUAUAAGACUGGGAUAACUUCGGGAAACCGGAGCUAAUACCGGAUAAUAUUUUGAACCGCAUGGUUCAAAAGUGAAAGACGGUCUUGCUGUCACUUAUAGAUGGAUCCGCGCUGCAUUAGCUAGUUGGUAAGGUAACGGCUGAGCAAGGCAACGAUGCAUAGCCGACCUGCGAGGGUGCUCGGCCACACUGGAACUGAGACACGGUCCAGACUCCUACGGGAGGCAGCAGUAGGGAAUCUUCCGCAAUGGGCGAAAGCCUGACGGAGCAACGCCGCGUGCGUGAUGCAGGUCUUCUGAUCGUAACUCUCUUUUUUUCGGGAAGAACAUAUGUGUAAGUCCCUCUGCACAUCUUGACGGUACCUAAUCACAAAGCCCCGGCUCCCUACGUC